RNAcentral lists this ribosomal RNA (2069 nucleotides) under Listeria monocytogenes. RNAcentral describes it as "partial 23S ribosomal RNA". It matches the Rfam family "Bacterial large subunit ribosomal RNA", at positions 1 to 1920 of the family's 2925-position model. The record is from RNAcentral. Lineage: Bacteria; Bacillati; Bacillota; Bacilli; Caryophanales; Listeriaceae.
AAAAAAGGUAAGCUACUAAGAGCGAAUGGUGGAUGCCUUGACUGGUAAAGGCGAUGAAGGACGUACUAGACUGCGAUAAGCUACGGGGAGCUGUCAAGAAGCUUUGAUCCGUAGAUUUCCGAAUGGGGCAACCCAAUGUAUAGAGAUAUACAUUACCUAUAUAGGAGCGAACGAGGGGAAUUGAAACAUCUUAGUACCCUCAGGAAAAGAAAUCAAUAGAGAUUGCGUCAGUAGCGGCGAGCGAAAGCGCAAGAGGGCAAACCCAGUGCUUGCACUGGGGGUUGUAGGACUGCAAUGUGCAAGAGGUAAGUUUAGCAGAACAUUCUGGAAAGUAUAACCAUAGAGGGUGAUAGUCCCGUAUGCGAAAAACAAACCUUAGCUAGCAGUAUCCUGAGUAGGGCGGGACACGAGGAAUCCUGUCUGAAUCCGGGUCGACCACGAUCCAACCCUAAAUACUAAUACCAGAUCGAUAGUGCACAAGUACCGUGAGGGAAAGGUGAAAAGAACUGAGGUGAUCAGAGUGAAAUAGAACCUGAAACCAUUUGCUUACAAUCAUUCAGAGCCCUAUGUAGCAAUACAGGGUGAUGGACUGCCUUUUGCAUAAUGAGCCUGCGAGUUGUGGUGUCUGGCAAGGUUAAGCAAACGCGAAGCCGUAGCGAAAGCGAGUCUGAAUAGGGCGCUUAGUCAGAUGCUGCAGACCCGAAACGAAGUGAUCUAUCCAUGAGCAAGUUGAAGCUAGUGUAAGAACUAGUGGAGGACUGAACCCAUAGGCGUUGAAAAGCCCCGGGAUGACUUGUGGAUAGGGGUGAAAGGCCAAUCAAACUUCGUGAUAGCUGGUUCUCUCCGAAAUAUAUUUAGGUAUAGCGUUGUGUCGUAAUAUAAGGGGGUAGAGCACUGAAUGGGCUAGGGCAUACACCAAUGUACCAAACCCUAUCAAACUCCGAAUACCUUAUAUGUAAUCACAGCAGUCAGGCGGCGAGUGAUAAAAUCCGUCGUCAAGAGGGAAACAACCCAGACUACCAGCUAAGGUCCCUAAAUCUUACUUAAGUGGAAAACGAUGUGAAGUUACUUAAACAACCAGGAGGUUGGCUUAGAAGCAGCCAUCCUUUAAAGAAAGCGUAAUAGCUCACUGGUCUAGUGAUUUUGCGCGGAAAAUAUAACGGGGCUAAAGUAAGUACCGAAGCUGUAGACUUGCACACAACUUAGAUUAUUUAAGUUUAGAAUAUGAGAAACUAAGUUAUAUGUUUAGUUAUAUUUUUACUGAUUUUUAUAGAGUAAAGAUAGAAAUAAAACUUAGUAAAAUCAGUAAAAAUAUUCUUAGACUAAAGUUAAGUAGUUUAAGUUGUGUGCAAGUGGUAGGAGAGCGUUCUAUUUGCGUCGAAGGUAUACCGGUAAGGAGUGCUGGAGCGAAUAGAAGUGAGCAUGCAGGCAUGAGUAGCGAUAAUUAAUGUGAGAAUCAUUAACGCCGUAAACCCAAGGUUUCCUACGCGAUGCUCGUCAUCGUAGGGUUAGUCGGGUCCUAAGUCGAGUCCGAAAGGGGUAGACGAUGGCAAAUUGGUUAAUAUUCCAAUACCAACAUUAGUGUGCGAUGGAAGGACGCUUAGGGCUAAGGGGGCUAGCGGAUGGAAGUGCUAGUCUAAGGUCGUAGGAGGUUGUACAGGCAAAUCCGUAUAACAAUACUCCGAGAACUGAAAGGCUUUUUGAAGUCUUCGGAUGGAUAGAAGAACCCCUGAUGCCGUCGAGCCAAGAAAAGUUUCUAAGUUUAGCUAAUGUUGCCCGUACCGUAAACCGACACAGGUGGGUGGGAUGAGUAUUCUAAGGCGCGUGGAAGAACUCUCUUUAAGGAACUCUGCAAAAUAGCACCGUAUCUUCGGUAUAAGGUGUGGUUAGCUUUGUAUUAGGAUUUACUCCGAAAGCAAGGAAACUUACAACAAAGAGUCCCUCCCGACUGUUUACCAAAAACACAGCACUCUGCUAACUCGUAAGAGGAUGUAUAGGGUGUGACGCCUGCCCGGUGCUCGAAGGUUAAUUGAUGGGGUUAGCAUUAGCGAAGCUCUUGAUCGAAGCCC